RNAcentral lists this non-coding RNA (105 nucleotides) under Chloroflexota bacterium. RNAcentral's name for it is "Chloroflexi bacterium c-di-GMP-II sequence". It matches the Rfam family "c-di-GMP-II-GAG riboswitch aptamer". Lineage: Bacteria; Bacillati; Chloroflexota. The record is from RNAcentral.
GGUUUUUUCGGAGGCUUAGAUCCAAAGACUUUGAUUGGUCGCUGUUCAGGAGUAGAAUCCUGAUCUGUCUUUGGGGAGCCAAUAGCGAAACCGGCCUUGACAACC